Molecule: long non-coding RNA, 411 nt
Organism: Rhagoletis pomonella (apple maggot)
Lineage: Eukaryota; Metazoa; Arthropoda; Insecta; Diptera; Tephritidae
Exons: 3
Source: RefSeq, a predicted model, not a curated record
CUUGUACGAUAAAUAUUACAACACAUUGAAGAGAUUGAGGAAAUCCGGUGAAUUAGUGGACCCAGAAAGUUCAACUCCUGAGGCAUCACCGACAGAAGAAUAUACAUUUACUUUCGAGGAUGAAAAAUCUGCCUAUGACUGGCUCAAACUUUUUGAUUCGCCGUGGAGCACAGUUGAAGCAAAUUGGAAAAAAACCUUCAAAAUCAGACGACAAGAAAUUUUGAACUCAAGUGGUAGCACAUCAGCGAAAACUUUACGGGCCUGGAAACUUUUUUCCCAUUCAUGUGGAUACAAUCUGAUUGAUAUUGACUUCAAUGCUCUACAUCAGAAUUGCUCACAGCUAACAGAGAAAUGGCAAGGUUUUAGAACAAAAAUUAUACCAAUUUUGAAUAAGAGGGUAAAGGAUAUUCA